This is a long non-coding RNA of Cotesia glomerata, 1029 nucleotides long. RefSeq lists it as uncharacterized. The record is from RefSeq and is a predicted model, not a curated record. NCBI's taxonomy places the organism in Eukaryota, Metazoa, Arthropoda, Insecta, Hymenoptera, Braconidae. The transcript has 3 exons.
UGAAUAUUUACUUCGAAUAUAAAAUUUAACUAAUUUUAAUCAUUUAAUAUUUACUAAUUUGAAUAUUUCGUUUGAAUUCACGCUCUCAUAAUAGAUAGCGCUCUAAUAACAGGUAGCGUCACCUGCUGGAUGCACUAGGUGCAUCACAAUUUUAUUGUGGCUUUCGCGCAUGGAGAAGUCUUUCAUCUGCGCGGACGAUUUAAAUUUAAAGAAAGAGAAGAGAGAAAAAAAAUUUUGCGGGUGGACAUAACAUUCCUCCGGAAAAGCGAGGAGCUAGUAUAGCUUAUCGGUUUUCCUAUGGCCACCUUCCCUAUAAGCGAAAGCCACUUACAAUUUUUUUUUAGUUUAACUUAAUAUAUCUUAAUAUAAUAAAAAGAGUAACAGGUGGAGUCAUCUGGCGCCAAUAUUUAAAUUUAAAUUUAUAUUUUAUCUCGCGUGGUAUAAUAUGCUGACGGAUGGCUAAUCUCUCUCGCCUCUCGAUUUCACAAAGCAGUGUCGAGUGUUAGUAUUGUCUCAGCAGUGAGCGAGUAUUGUUAGAGUUUCAAAAAAAAAACGAGAAGAAAAGGAAAAAAAAGGAAAUGUACCCGACACAGAAGAAUUUUGAAGGGUAUGGUACUUGGUACCAGCAGGCCAUUUUUGUCUAUGGAGAGAAAGAUCUGAGAAAGGGUAUUCGCAUUUUAAGGGCCUUAGCACGUCCAGUAAACCCUGCUCGGGCGUUACGCUUGGCUUCCAGGUUCCUGGAUUUGUUUGGUCCUCUUCCUCCAGAGGUGGUCGAGGCGGUAACGUUUUUCUGUCUUCAGGGCAUUGAGGGCGUUGGCGAGCCUUGGGCCUUCGAGGAAGUAGUUACCCCUAAUAGUGAGGACCUGGAGCGUUUGGCCUUCGCUCUCAUGGGGGUGAUAUUUAACGGCUUGGUCACUAUUGCCUAAGGCAUAUCGUAUGUCAUGACGGAGAGCUGGCUCAUCGUGGAUCUUCGUUCGUGCUGAGAUCAUCAGAUUCCUUGAUUUCUUCAAGCGCAUGUUUUGUAUAAGU